Molecule: ribosomal RNA, 480 nt
Filed under: Triticum aestivum (bread wheat)
Lineage: Eukaryota; Viridiplantae; Streptophyta; Magnoliopsida; Poales; Poaceae
Description: partial small subunit ribosomal RNA
Source: RNAcentral
AUGGACCAAUCCAUCCCUUUUUCCCGUGCAUAUGCAUCGGACUCGGAUGACGAUGGUCCUGAUGAAGAAGUUGAUGAGGAGGGGUUCACACCGAAGGAGGCCGAAGCAUUCAAGAAGGUAUUCGGGCGGGAUCACAAGACACCAUUGUUCAAGGAUCUUAGUCUCGCGGAUGAAGCCGUUGUGGAUGGUGGAAAAUGCAUAUCUCUUGGAGCUAGGCCAAGUUCUCACCGUGAUUUGGAAGACGGCAAGAACGGGAUAUAUCCCGGUUGUGAGUUUCAAUCCUUCUUGGAAUUGAAGAUGUGGCUCGACAACUACUCGGUUACACAUUAUCGUCCACAUAAAGUGGCCAACUCGGACGUGAAUGUGCGUUACACGGUCAAAUGUGAAGUGCCAAAAUGUCCAUGGAUGGUGCGUGCAAGGCCAUGGAAAGGAGGUCCCACUUGGCGCAUAGUGAGUUGUCUACCAACUCACAUGUGCUGA